Molecule: long non-coding RNA, 1126 nt
Organism: Sycon ciliatum
Lineage: Eukaryota; Metazoa; Porifera; Calcarea; Leucosolenida; Sycettidae
Exons: 3
Source: RefSeq, a predicted model, not a curated record
ACGUCACAGUUCCUUCGAUACGCAUAACAACGAUCCCACUGGGGACAAACAAAAGUAGCGUCGUCUCCACCGACCCAGUUGUCAGUGGCAACAUAUAGGAAUCGUGUACAUUUCUUCGUUUCUUCUUUGCUGUUUUCAGUGAGUGUUUUGUUUUCUCUUUGUCCUUGAUCUCGACGAUGUUGUCGUGCUCAUUACCUUACUGAGACGUCUCUUGUGACUGUAGCCAGUGUCAUGGAGGAUUUUAUUGGCGUGACAAGGUAGAUCGCCGAGAUCGAGCGUGAAAAACGCUCUGCAUUAGUAGCUCCUGUAGAAUGUUUUCUGGGUUGGCGUAUCCAUGGUCAACAAAACCAAGGUGCAAGACAGCAUGAGAGAUCGUGUAAACGAUGUGAACUCCAAAAGAUAAUCUGGCCAAAUUUAUUGUAACUAGAGAGUGCAAUCGUGCACUGCUUGGGGCCCAUCCCAAUGUCAUCACAUGGCUGUGGUGACUAGUGUAUAUCUAGGAGAAUUUUUCCUCGACUGAUACGGAGUGCAGGUGGAUCGAUUAUGAGAAAUGCGAACAUGUGAAGUUCAAGGCUAGAUGCACUUCACAUUCGGCGUGCGAUCUCAGCGUCUGGGACCUGAUGAAGUCUUGGUUGGAUGAUUAUUCAAGCCUGAUACUACUCGACACACCAAUGUUCAUGUCAAUGUAAUUUUUUCAGAGCUGCACUAUUUACGUGUUGACGCUUACUUCGGUGUUAGCGUGUUUCCCCCGGAUUGUUUCUAUCAUCAUGAUCGUGUGUUCUUGGGCUGAGCGAGCACAUGCACAAGUGUGCAGCUAUAACCCUGUGUAUCUUUGGUUACACUUUGUUCUGCAAUGCAUGUACCUUGUAACAUUAUGUGCUUGCACUGCUUUGCCUGGCCUGCCUAUUUCAGGACCAUUCAGUGCAUUAGACCCAGGUUUGUUUGGUUGCCGGAUGACCUCUUGUUGCGUCGCUCUGUAUUUGUAUUCAUCAAUUUUUGGGCUUGAGAAUUGAGCUGUUGUGUGGUUCCCAAUAUGAAAACAUCAUGCUGGUGCUCUGUGUUUCGAUUAUCGACUGUCGGAGCAGUCCUGCAUUUAUUAGCAGAACGGUCAAUACUGUAGUCUUUU